RNAcentral lists this long non-coding RNA (2160 nucleotides) under Heterocephalus glaber (naked mole-rat). Its description in RNAcentral is "lncRNA (ENSHGLG00000044130.1)". Lineage: Eukaryota; Metazoa; Chordata; Mammalia; Rodentia; Bathyergidae. The record is from RNAcentral.
GGCUGAGCGCGAGGAGGGUGGUGGGCCGGAGGUAAAGCUCAGAGCUCUCGUGAUUGGCUGGGGUCCUGGACGUUGAUAGGUCAGGGCGCCGGGGAGGACUGAGGAGAGGAGUUCGGUCGGGGUCGGGGCGUGCAAAGGCAGAAGACGCCCCGCCGCUUUCGGAGUCUGGCGCGGGGCACGCCGGGACGCCCCCGGGAAAGGGCGGAGCUGAGCGCCGGCUGCAGUCCGGACGGCAGCGUCACUGCGGGCGUGCGGAGCGAAGUUUCGCGGGCCUGCGCGGGAAGGGACCGUUAAAAUCUGGGGCCGCGCCCACCGGAAGCGACUGAAUGGCGAGGUCGCCUUGGUAACAGGCCUUUGGCUGGAAGGACCUUGAAGGCCACGUGAUUCGACUUACAGUGUGCGGUGGGAACUCUGACGCCCAGAGAGGGGUCUCACCAUGUAGUGCAAGCUGGCCUUGAACUCACUGUGUAGCCCAGGCUGGCCUUGGGCUUGGCAGCGAUCCUGCACCCUCAGCCUCCCACGUGCUGGGAUUAGGCACCACCACGCCCAGCAAAAGCCACUUAAUGCCUAUAAAGAAGAUUGUGCCUACAGUUAUUUGACUUCCCCAGAAGCAGGUACAUGGGCUCCAGAGAAAAGGCUGCAUUUCAGUCGUACUCUGGCAUCCCUGCUGUUUGAUCAUCUGAAAGCCACCUAAGCUUCGCAUGUGAGAGCUGGAAAGUCUGUGUCUAAAUACGAGCCCCUCAGGAAAGAUGCGAUCCCGAAGGUGCUAAGCUGUGCAGCCCCCAACCCCAGCCCUGGGAGUAGUCGCAGAGCCAAGGGACCAGAAGAGGAGGGGUUCAGCCCUGGCCUCACUGGCACCGAGGAAGCAUGGAGUGAGUGUGACACCCAGAGGACUGAGUCACCUGCUUGGGGACAGGGCAAACCGCACUGCUGUUUCCACACGACACUUCUUCCAAAAGAAUUUAGGCAAGUGAAAGCAUUCAGAGAAAAGCAGGAAGAUUUACUGCACUUUCCACUCCCAAAGCCCAGGACCUUCACACUGAGCUACAUUGCCAGCCCUUUUCAUUUACUUAGAGACAUCUCUCCAAGUUGCUGGCUUUGAUCCUCCUGUCUCAGCCUCCAGAGUGCUGGGAUUACAGAUGUGCACCCCGACACCCAACUUGCAGCACUUUUUGACUAUUUAUGGACUGGAAAACCAUUUGGAUGUCAAGCCCUCCCUGUCUGGGUGUAGCUUGACACCACUGCCACCCGGCUCCCUCUUUAUUGCUUCCUCAGUUUACUCGGCUCUCCAUGGGCUUGCUGCCUUGCUCCCAGAGUCUUGACAUGGUCACUUCUCUGUUUAACUCCUUGUGGACAUGACCACCUGCUCCGCAACCUAAGUCUGGGACAUGGCUCCGUGGUAGAGCCCUUUCCUAGUGAGCUUGAAGGCCCAGGUUUGGUCCCCAGUACCACAAAACAACAAAGACAGAAAUACAGUACUCCUCUGGUGGCAUGCAUAGUGGCACACACCUGCUGAGCAGGAGGAUCACUGAGUUCAAGGCCAUCUGGACUGCAUAGCGAGAACCUGUCUCCAAAAAUAAAAUAAAUACUAGAGAUAAUAAAGAGUUGAUCCACAUAAAUUUCUUAGAGUCAUGAAGGCUUAACUUUGUUUUUCAGUACUGGGGAUUGAACCCCAGGGCCUUUGCACUGAGCUACAUUACUGCUGUAAUUCUAGUUAGGGAUUAGAAAUGAUGCUGAGGAGGGCCGGGGAUUUAGCUCAGUGGUGCCACCACCUGCCUCACAAGCACAAGUUCCUGAAUUCAAUCCUCGGUACAAAAAAAAAAUAGAAAUGAUGCUGGGGGCUGAGGGUGUAGCUCAGUGGGAACACUUGCCCAGCAUGUGUGAGGCCCUGGUUUCCAUCCCCAGCACUGCAAAAAAAAAAUUACAGCUGGGAGUAGAUGUGGCUCUGUGGUUGAGCGUGUGCUCAUUGCAGCUGAGGCCCUGGGUUAAAUGUCUAGCAUACACAAAAAAUGCUGUCUGAAGUCAUCUCAUGUAGAAAAUACAAACUGCUAAGUACAAGUCAGCAGAGCUGAAAUUCCAGCACUCUGGGAGGCUGAGGCAGGAGUAUCACAAGUCAGCUCAACCUGGGCAACAGUUGAGAUCCUGUCUCAAAAAAAUAAA